GUACGCUGGCGGCACGCCUAACACAUGCAAGUCGAACGCAGUAGCAAUACUGAGUGGCAAACGGGUGAGUAUAAUGUGGGAAUCUGCCUUUUGGUUUGGAAUAACACGGGGAAACUUGUGCUAAUACCGAAUAAGCCCUUACGGGGAAAGUUUUAACGCCGAAAGAUGAGCCCGCACUUGAUUAGCUAGUUGGUAAGGUAAAAGCUUACCAAGGCAACGAUCAAUAGCUGUUCUUAGAGGAAGACCAGCCACAUUGGGACUGAGACACGGCCCAGACUCCUACGGGAGGCAGCAGUGGGGAAUCUUGCACAAUGGGGGAAACCCUGAUGCAGCGAUGCCGCGUGAGUGAAGAAGGCCCUUGGGUUGUAAAACUCUUUCGUCGGGGAAGAAAAUGACUGUACCCGAAUAAGAAGGUCCGGCUA
RNAcentral lists this ribosomal RNA (422 nucleotides) under uncultured bacterium. RNAcentral's name for it is "bacterial SSU rRNA". It matches the Rfam family "Bacterial small subunit ribosomal RNA", at positions 31 to 499 of the family's 1533-position model. The record is from RNAcentral.